AUUGAACGCUGGCGGCGUGCUUAACACAUGCAAGUCGAACGGGAAUCACUUCAUUGAGACUUCGGUGGAUUUGAUUUGAUUCUAGUGGCGGACGGGUGAGUAACGCGUGGGUAACCUGCCUUAUACAGGGGGAUAACAGUCAGAAAUGACUGCUAAUACCGCAUAAGCGCACAGGACCGCAUGGUCCGGUGUGAAAAACUCCGGUGGUAUAAGAUGGACCCGCGUUGGAUUAGCUUGUUGGUGGGGUAACGGCCUACCAAGGCGACGAUCCAUAGCCGGCCUGAGAGGGUGAGCGGCCACAUUGGGACUGAGACACGGCCCAGACUCCUACGGGAGGCAGCAGUGGGGAAUAUUGCACAAUGGGGGAAACCCUGAUGCAGCGACGCCGCGUGAAGGAAGAAGUAUCUCGGUAUGUAAACUUCUAUCAGCAGGGAAGAUAGUGACGGUACCUGACUAAGAAGCCCCGGCUAACUACGUGCCAGCAGCCGCCGUAA
This 494-nucleotide ribosomal RNA is filed under the name uncultured bacterium. Its description in RNAcentral is "partial 16S ribosomal RNA". It matches the Rfam family "Bacterial small subunit ribosomal RNA", at positions 30 to 523 of the family's 1533-position model. The record is from RNAcentral.